GAUGAACGCUGGCGGCGUGCCUAAUACAUGCAAGUCGAGCGAACAGACGAGGAGCUUGCUCCUCUGACGUUAGCGGCGGACGGGUGAGUAACACGUGGAUAACCUACCUAUAAGACUGGGAUAACUUCGGGAAACCGGAUCUAAUACCGGAUAAUAUAUUGAACCGCAUGGUUCAAUAGUGAAAGACGGUUUUGCUGUCACUUAUAGAUGGAUCCGCGCCGCAUUAGCUAGUUGGUAAGGUAACGGCUUACCAAGGCAACGAUGCGUAGCCGACCUGAGAGGGUGAUCGGCCACACUAGAACUGAGACACGGACCAGACUCCUAAGGGAGGCAGCAGUCGGGAAUCUGCCGCAAUGGGCGAAAGCCUGACGGAGCAACGCCGCGUGAGUGAUGAAGGUCUUCGGAUCGUAAAACUCUGUUAUUAGGGAAGAACAAGUGUGUAAGUAACUAUGCACGUCUUGACGGUACCUAAUCAGAAAGCCACGGCUAACUACGUG
RNAcentral lists this ribosomal RNA (497 nucleotides) under uncultured bacterium. Its description in RNAcentral is "partial 16S ribosomal RNA". It matches the Rfam family "Bacterial small subunit ribosomal RNA", at positions 28 to 507 of the family's 1533-position model. The record is from RNAcentral.